CCUACGGGAGGCAGCAGUCGGGAAUAUUGCGCAAUGGAGGAAACCCUGACGCAGUCACGCCGCGUGCAGGAAGACGGCUUUCGGAUUGUGAACUGCUUUAGACAGGGAAGCAAAAAGCCAGUACCUGUCGAAUAAGCUCCGGCUAACUACGUUCCAGCAGCCGCGGUAAUACGUAGGGAGCAAGCGUUAUCCGGAUUUCUUGGGUGUAAAGGGGUCGUAGGCGGAGAAGCAAGGUAGUUGUGAAAUCCCUGGGCUUAACUGAGGAAGUGCAACUAAAACUACUUCCCUUGAGUACUGGAGAGGAAAGUGGAAUGCCUGGUGUAGCGGUGAAAUGCGUAGAUAUUAGGAGGAACACCAGUGGCGAAGGCAGCUUUCUGGACAGUAACUGACGCUGAGGCACGAAAGUGUGGGGAGCAAACAGGAUUAGAUACCCGUGUAGUC
This 441-nucleotide ribosomal RNA is filed under the name uncultured bacterium. RNAcentral describes it as "partial 16S ribosomal RNA". It matches the Rfam family "Bacterial small subunit ribosomal RNA", at positions 338 to 795 of the family's 1533-position model. The record is from RNAcentral.